UCUCUCUCUCUCCAAAUACCACCAUAAGGUCACCACCACACCCCCGCCACCGUCGCUUCACUCGUCAUCUUCACAACUGCUGGCGGCGAGGCUGACAGACUGAUCCGGAGACGCUAUUGCCCCGCUCCUCCUCUUCUCUCACUCCACUUGGGAUUCGAAUGAGUUUGAUAAUAAAGACGUGGAUUUGCUUUCUUUCUCGAAAUAGACAGAAAAAGAAACUUGUACAGAUGAAUCUUUUUUCUAAGAUAGUUAAAAAAGAUGUUUAGGGGUCCGUACCUUAACAGAUGCAUAGAUAAUUGGUAUAUUUAAUUACCCAUUGGAGAUUAGUAAAUACUCUUAGAUAAAUGCUUUGUGAUCCAUACCUUUACGGGGCUUGACUGAUGCAUAGAUAAUUAGUAUAUAUUUAAUUACCCAUUGGAGAUUAGUAAAUACUCUUAGAUAAAUGCUUUGUGAUCCAUACCUUAACUGAUGCAUAGAUAAUUACCCAUUGGAGAUUAGUAAAUAGAUAAAUGCUUUGUUUUGGAGGAUAAAAGUAAAGGUUGGUGGGUCUGUAAAUACGGAUAAACAGAGGAAUGGAUAAUAGAUAUGUGUUAAGGGAUUAGAUAAGGUAGUCGAUAGUUAAAAGUAAAGGAUGGUGGGUCUGUAAACACGGAUAAACAGAGGAAUGAUUAAUAGGUAUGUGUUAAGGGAUUAGAUAAGGUAGUCUAUAGAUAAAUGCUUUGGAGGAUAAAAGUAAAGAGUGUUGGGUCUCUCAACACACGGAUAAACAGAUGAAUGGAUAAUAGGGGUGUUAAGGGAUUGGAUAAACUACUCAAUACUCUUAUAGACAGAUGGAUGGAGUUGUGAAUAGAUAGUUUUGCUUUAGUUUCUUUCGUCAAUAAAACGCAGCUGAAGGGCAAUAAAAUAAACAGAAAUCAUAGGCCUAUUGCAUGGGGUUGUGAAUAGAUAGUUUUGUAUUUGUUUCGUCAAUAAAACUCAGCUGAAGGGCAAUAAAAUAAACAGACAUCAUAGGCCUAUUGCAUGGGGUUGUGAGUAGAUAGUUUUGUAUUUAUUUCGUCAAUAAAAGGCAGCUGAAGGGCAAUAAAAUAAACAGACAUCAUAGGCCUAUUGCAUGGGGUUGUGAGUAGAUAGUUUUGUAUUUGUUUCUUUCGUCAAUAAAAGGCAGCUGAAGGGCAAUAGAAUAAACAGACAUCAUAGGCCUAUUGCAUGGGGUUGUGAAUAGAUAGUUUUGUAUUUAUUUAGUCAAUAAAAGGCAGCUCAAGGGCAAUAAAAAAAUAGAUAAAUCAUAGGCGUUCUGCAGACUCCCUAUGUUCUAAAAUCCCCAAGAGUAAAAAAUAUAACAAUCAAAUUCAACAUUCAGAAUUGGGCUUACAGAUGAAUAGCUUUAGACUAUCAAAAAGGAAUGUGUGAAGCCGGCCCCCACAUGAGAUGGAUACUCUGCAUGUUAGGAAAUUAGAAUAAGUUAAGGCAUAUAGGAAAGACUGAUAAAUAGAUAGCUAGUUUAUGUUAAGAAAUUAUAGUAAGUUAAAACAAAGAUGGAUAAAUGAAUGAAUAGAGACCUUAAAUUUCUAUGUAAGGGAAUUAGAAUAAGUUAAGGCAUAUAAAGACGGAUAAAUAGAUUAAUAGCUUAUGUAUAUUAAGGAAUUGGAAUAAGUUAAAACUGUGGAAAAUAUGUAGCCACUUAUUGGGGUAAACCCUUUGAAAUCCCCUCACCUUCGUAGGUGCGGCUCACAGUUAAAUGCUGGGUUUAUAAAAAGGUGUUCAGGUUUCUACUCACAUAAAAGGGAGAUGGAUUCCAGUUAUUUGAAUGUUGUCCUUGUCCCCUAAACAAACCACUGAAAAGGGCGAAACUUAAUGAUUUAGUGAAUUGUUGUGAAAGUUAAUUUAUGUAGCAUGACAAGCUCAGGUGAUUCUGAACUAUUAAUAUAAUUUACCGGAGGUUUGUUGUUUUCAUGCUCCGUAACGACACCGCUUAUUCGUGGUGCCGAACACGUUACUGCCCUUCUGUCGCGUGGACGUUAUGACGCACCACACGUACAGUACUGCUUCAUACGCAACGUCUUCGAUUCUCUUGAGUCGUGCGUAUUUCUUUCCCCUCCUAACACCUCACCUAUUUGGCCAAAUUAGGAUUAAUGCUAGAAAGGUACUUAGCUGUAACCAUCAGGGUGUUAAUGACAGGCAGCAGUAUUGUUGAUCGACGAAUCCUAGUUGUUAGUAGUAUAGUAGUCCGGGCGUCGUGUCUGCUCGCCGUAUCUGGUAAGGCUGGUGAUGCGGGAGCAGUAUUGUAGUUUGACGUAUCCCGGCAGUAAGUAGUAGAAAUCCAGGGCGUCGACUGCUUGCCGUGUCUAAGUAAAUAUCGAGCCCGACGGUGGAGCACAACCAGCGCCGACCCGUCUUCUUUCGAUAGCUAUAAGCUGCUGCCUCUGACAGGCUCGCUUCCUCUCUCGCUGCCUUCCCUCGCACUCUGAAGCGCUAUUCGAAGCAGCUCUUUGAAGCAUCGUUUUAUUUAAGUUAGUUUGCUGGUUAACUUAUUUUUUAUUUGUUAGCUGAGUAAUCUAGUCCUCUCCUCGUAAGUAGGAGUAGCAUUUUUCUUAUAAUUACUCCCCCCCUUUUUUUGUGGUUUUAUUUUUAUUAUUCCCUGCCAAAUAAAUUUUUGACAAAAACAUAUAUAAAGACGGAUAAACAGAUGAGUAGAUAGCUUAAUUGUCUAUGUUAUGGGGGUUAGAAUAAGUUAAAACAUAGAAAGACGGAUAAAUGAAUGAAUGGAAAGCUUAAUUGUCUACGUUGGAGGAUUAUAAUAAGUUAGAUAACCUAGGAAGACGGACACAGAGGAGUAGGCAGCUGUUAACCCUAUCCGAUCCGAGGGAGGACAGAUCUGGACCCCCCUCAAGCACUUCGAUCAAAACGAUACACCUUUUUUUUUUUCCACUAGUUUCUUUUCACUCAUUAUUCAUUAUUGUUUUACACUAUUGGAUACACCUUUUUUUUUUACUUUCCACUAGUUUCUUUCCACUCAUUAUUCAUUGUUGUUUUACACUAUUGAUUCGGUACCAGUACUUAGUGUUCAUGAGCGUUAUCGUUGUUCAGAUAAAUGAGUACGAUGCUUGGUGUUACGAGCGCGAAAAAUUGAAAACGUCGGAUCAGAUAGGGUUAAGGGAUUGGAAUAAGUUAAAGGAUAUAAACACUAAUAAAUAGAUCAAUAGAUAGCCGGUCUGUGUUAGAGAUUUGGAAUAAUUUGAAACACUUACAGACAGACGGACGGAUAUAUAGAUGAUUGCUUUAUUUCGUGGAGUUUUAAUUAAAGAGGUUCGCAGAUCUAUGGAUACGGGAAUGGUUAGAGGAAAAGCUUGGUAAGUAGAAGGUUUAAGAGAGAAAUGAUACACGAUUUGUUUUGUUUAUAGGAUAUAGAGGAAUAGAUGCUGUUAAGGGAUUGGUUUAUUU
Molecule: long non-coding RNA, 3441 nt
Organism: Eriocheir sinensis (Chinese mitten crab)
Lineage: Eukaryota; Metazoa; Arthropoda; Malacostraca; Decapoda; Varunidae
Exons: 2
Source: RefSeq, a predicted model, not a curated record